CGAUACAAGUGCGUGUGUGUUUGUGUAAGGUUGUGUUACACGUGUGGGUUUGGGAAAGGGGGUGCUCUAACUGUUAGCACCCUCUUCACCUCAUCCAUUUUUUUCAUACAUUCUUAAAAAAGUAAAUUAUCUAGACUUAGAUUAUAAGGUUUAUGUCUAUCUUUCAAAAUGUCAACUUGGAUUUGGAUUUUUUUCCGGCUAAAAAUGGUCCGUAGCUUUUAUCAGGAUCGGUUUUGUUUUUAUCGGACGAAACUGUACGUCAUGUUUGACGUCAUCAGCUGUAACAGAAAUUGAGAGGAAAAAGGAUUUAUCAAGUCUCUGUUAAAACUGGAACUCGGUAUCACAUCUGACUCGCACUUCUGAAAUGGAUCAAAUCGGACUUUGUCAUCGAGACUCGGAGGAACCCAGCUGCCUAAAUUAUAAUGCCAGUGGAACACAAAACAGAAAAGAUACUUGUAUGCAAGACAUGGAGAAAAGAGCAGACUACAGCCUCUAUAUACCAUUCCUUGGUGCCUCCUUGAAUUGAUGUUUUUCAGGAUAACCAUGCAGGAAUAAAGGUUAACUCAGUAUAAAGUCUUGCUGACAUGAACAUGAUAAUCACAGAAAGUGAAUAUAUUUCAUCACCUUAAGCAAUCUUCAAAAUACCAGAUUGGAAAAAGAAAGAAGAUUUGUAGCAUUGUAUUGAAUAUGCCUGAUUAAAAGUAUUAAUGGAUGAA
Saccostrea cuccullata (small rock oyster) is the source of this 716-nucleotide long non-coding RNA. RefSeq lists it as uncharacterized. The record is from RefSeq and is a predicted model, not a curated record. The transcript has 5 exons. NCBI's taxonomy places the organism in Eukaryota, Metazoa, Mollusca, Bivalvia, Ostreida, Ostreidae.